Molecule: long non-coding RNA, 406 nt
Filed under: Equus caballus (horse)
Lineage: Eukaryota; Metazoa; Chordata; Mammalia; Perissodactyla; Equidae
Description: lncRNA (ENSECAG00000046266.1)
Source: RNAcentral
GGGGAAGAGCCCAGUCCUCGUGAGGUCAAGGCCACGAUUUAGAAACCAAAAGCUCAGAAAUGCUCUGAAACCACAGAUGGCCAAAUCCACCCACUGGAGGUUCAGCAUAUACUUGCUCAAAUACGUAAACUAAAAGCAGGCUCUUUUGAGUUGUUUGGAGGAUUCAUGGCUACAUAUAACCUGGUAGUGCAUGUACUGUGGGGCUCAUCCAAAUGGGAGAGGCCCUUCGGGGGCCUGCAUCAGAGUGAGGAGGCACGUCCCUGGGUAGCUCACCCUGGCCACCGGGAUGUGAAGACCCCUGGGAUGACAUGAGUGGAGCCAUAUUAAAAUAGAGCCAGAGCAGCCAUUUCAGAGGAAUUGCCUUGCACGUUUUGUUUUCUUUAUCUUCCAAACUGGACCAAACCAC